UACAAAUACUCAGUCCUGCCACUUCCACUCUGCCAGAUCGUAAUCGCUGUUCAUUUUGCCGCUCUGACUCUGGUUCCUGUCUCCUGUUCCACAUCUCACCACCCUGCUACCCUGUUCUGGAUUCAACUCAUCACUCCCUUGGAUUCCCCUCCAGACCUGUUUACCCUGUCCUAACCCAGCUCACUCCAACCUCAGCCUCCACAUCUGGUUUCUUACAACUCAUCCAAGCUUCCCUGGGUCUGCACUUCAUCUCUCCCUGUGUUACAAUAAAUAUAUUGGUUCAUUCA
Molecule: long non-coding RNA, 287 nt
Organism: Salmo salar (Atlantic salmon)
Lineage: Eukaryota; Metazoa; Chordata; Actinopteri; Salmoniformes; Salmonidae
Source: RefSeq, a predicted model, not a curated record